UGGUAAGUCAACAGCAAAUUCAAUAACGUCAAAAACAGUAAAGAUCAUUACUAUUCUUAUUACUAUUAUUAUUAUGAACAAAACACUUUUUACAGCACAAACAGCAGUAAAACCAAACGUGCUGGAGUUCUGCUGUGGUUGCUAGGUAACGGUGAAACGCGACUUAAUUAGGAGGAUUUGGGAAAAUAUUAAUUUAUUACCACAAAAUGUCAGGGUGGUUAUUUUUAAGCACUUUUGCCGUUUUUAGAAGCAUCAGAAACACAAAUGGAAGAAUAAAAAAUAUGCAAAAUAUAUAUUUAGUUCAAUAGGUUCCCUCUAAUUCAGAGAAUUGACUUUAAAAUAUUUCUGUUAGUUUAUAAAUCACUGAACGGAUUAGAAAAAAAACACAUUAAAGAUCUGCUGCUGUAUAAGCAAAUCUGGAGCAAACUUCCUGAAAACUGUAAAACAGCUGAAACACUGAGUUAAUUUAAACUAAGGCUAAAACCCCACCUGGUUACAGCUGAUCUGAUCUAUAGCAAGUGGAAUAUUGACAUUUUUGAUGACGUAAUUUGUCAAAAUGUUUGAUUGUUGCCAGGUUCCUCUUGAAAAAGAAAUUCUAGAUCUGAACCUUUUUUUAAAAAUCUGGUUAGUAUUACUAACAGUUGGUGACUGUAUGAUGAUUUUACGAUGUAAAGCACUUUGUUGCUGAAAUGUUGCUCUACAAAUAAACUUGACUGUAACCUUUCUCUCCUUUAAAGCCAUUAUUCUCCCAGCAUAAUAACUCGUAUCGUACAGUGGGGCACAUCUGUGAAAUCACAGAGUUUAAGACAAAAGCAAACGCACAAACACACCCUCACGCACACGGUGGAGAGAUUUAGGGCACGCUAGCACCCGGAUGAUGAAUGAAGCCCACACACGGCUGGAAAACAGAGCAGGACCGCUCCGACCUUGGCUGCAAACACGCAGGGGAGCGGCGGAGCGGCGCGCCCGUCCAGAAGCUCCAAUUCGACACACAGGAAGUGGUGGACGGCGGGCCGCUGAGGCCGAUGAUGAACGAGGGGGACGCAGUCGCAGGAACACCUCGGCGCCCUUCCUGAAGGUGUGAUAAAUCUAGCCGGAGCCGCCGCUGGGUUCCAGUAAAAGGACAUGUGAUCCAUGAAAGGCGAUACAGGAAGUGAUGAACACGAGCCGCGGCACUGAUAAUGGCCCAGAAUCCGUCCCGCAGCGUCCGGCGCGCUGAACUCUGACUCAUCCGAGAUGUAAUCUGUCCGCCGCGCGGCGAGCUCCAUUACGACCGGACGGCGCUGACAAUUAAACCACGACGGCCAUCGAUCAAAACGCAGCUAUCAACGCCGCCCCCCAGUGGCCGAACGGGGCCGGAGACGAGACGACAGCCAAACGAUCCAUAAACAUAAUGGACAUCAAUAUUGAAAAGAUGACAGAUGAGGCUGCCAGCAGAGGCCGGGAUUCAAUUUCUAUUCUUCUUUUUUCCUGCAGGAGGCCGGAUCGCUUUUCACAAAGUCAUUUAUCAGCCGGCAGGCCGACGGCGAGAAGCCGAGCCGCAACAUGUGAGCCGACGGCUGACGCAAACGACAAAAUGAAUCAGGCGCGCAACAAUAAUGACUGAGAUAUAAGUAAUGAUGGCAUCCAGAGCGCAGUGGGCUCCCUGCCUGUGAGAGCGCCACAGCGACAGAACAUCAGACCCACCGAAGGCUCCGACUGAACCCACAGCGUCGCUACCAUGGUUUAUAAUCUGAUGGUUUAUAAUCCAGGAUGUAAUCUGACCCCUGGCUGACCUGGCAACCUGCAGCCCAACUGAUCAGACCUUCAUGUUCUGCUUAAGCUGCUGAUAAUUUUAUACGAUUUUACUCUACAUAACAAAUUUUAAAGAGGAAGAAAUAAAAUAAAAUGCAAUAAUAUUAAAAAUAUCAAUUAUAAAAAGAAUUUGAAGAAAUUUUUUAAAGAAAUCUGAAGGAAGCGAAACAUA
Long non-coding RNA from Xiphophorus hellerii (green swordtail), 1966 nucleotides. RefSeq lists it as uncharacterized. Lineage: Eukaryota; Metazoa; Chordata; Actinopteri; Cyprinodontiformes; Poeciliidae. The record is from RefSeq and is a predicted model, not a curated record. The transcript has 3 exons.